CCUACGGGAGGCAGCAGCGAGGAAUUUUGCGCAAUGGGCGAAAGCCUGACGCAGCAACGCCGCGUGGGGGAUGAAGGCCUUCGGGUUGUAAACCCCUUUUCUUGGGGACGAUGAUGACGGUACCCAAGGAAUAAGCCUCGGCUAACUACGUGCCAGCAGCCGCGGUAAUACGUAGGAGGCGAGUGUUGUCCGGAUUUACUGGGCGUAAAGAGCGCGUAGGCGGCCGGCUAAGUCUGGGGUGAAAUCUCCCGGCUUAACUGGGAGGGGGCGCCGGAUACUGGUCGGCUGGAGGGCAUCAGAGGGAAGGGGAAUUCCCGGUGGAGCGGUAAAAUGCGUAGAUAUCGGGAGGAACACCGGUGGCGAAAGCGGCUCCCGGGGGUGCCCCUGACGCUGAGGCGCGAAAGCGGGGGGAGCAAACCGGAUUAGAUCCCCGGGUAGU
This 439-nucleotide ribosomal RNA is filed under the name uncultured Chloroflexota bacterium. RNAcentral's name for it is "uncultured Chloroflexi bacterium partial 16S ribosomal RNA". It matches the Rfam family "Bacterial small subunit ribosomal RNA", at positions 338 to 794 of the family's 1533-position model. Lineage: Bacteria; Bacillati; Chloroflexota. The record is from RNAcentral.